This 301-nucleotide ribosomal RNA is filed under the name uncultured bacterium. RNAcentral describes it as "partial 16S ribosomal RNA". It matches the Rfam family "Bacterial small subunit ribosomal RNA", at positions 509 to 808 of the family's 1533-position model. The record is from RNAcentral.
CAGUCGCCACGGUAAUACGUAGGUGGCAAGCGUUGUCCGGAAUUAUUGGGCGUAAAGGGCUCGCAGGCGGUUUUUUAAGUCUGAUGUGAAAGCCCCCGGCUCAACCGGGGAGGGUCAUUGGAAACUGGGAAACUUGAGUGCAGAAGAGGAGAGUGGAAUUCCACGUGUAGCGGUGAAAUGCGUAGAGAUGUGGAGGAACACCAGUGGCGAAGGCGACUCUCUGGUCUGUAACUGACGCUGAGGAGCGAAAGCGUGGGAGCGAACAGGAUUAGAUACCCCCGUAGUCCCUGUCUCUUAUACA